AUCUCUCAACACAGAUGGGUUUAAUCACCUGUUCUGUUGCUUGGAUGUUGAAGGCCUGCUGGUAGAUUUGUUCACCAGCUCCUUUUAAAUAUAUCAGCGGAAACCUGGCAGAAUUGGCUUCAGUUUGAUAAAUUACCUCACGGUACUAACUGCUGCUAAUGAGUGCUAUUGUUUUGGCUUCUAAUUGUCCACUGUUGCUGGACUGUCUCUCUGUGAGGCAUACAAACUUGAC
RNAcentral lists this unclassified non-coding RNA (232 nucleotides) under uncultured Agaricomycetes. RNAcentral's name for it is "sequence contains ITS2". Lineage: Eukaryota; Fungi; Basidiomycota; Agaricomycetes. The record is from RNAcentral.